Molecule: long non-coding RNA, 320 nt
Organism: Limulus polyphemus (Atlantic horseshoe crab)
Lineage: Eukaryota; Metazoa; Arthropoda; Merostomata; Xiphosura; Limulidae
Exons: 3
Source: RefSeq, a predicted model, not a curated record
UAUCCACCAUAUAUCUCUCUAAGUAAUCAAGCUGUGGAUUUCAACAAUGAGACAGUGGAACUCGAUGACUGUGUGUGUAAGGAAGUUUUGGAGUAUCUAGCACAUCAAUACCAAGUCCAGUUUUCAUUUGUUAAACCUCCAGAGAUGAAAUGGGGUCUACAAAACGAUGGCAAAUGGAGUGGAGCAGUAAAGAUGGUUCUUCAGGGAGAGGCAGACAUGAUCCCCUUCUUGACAGUGACAACACAGCGGUCAGCUGUAUUAGACUUCAGCUUUCCACUCUCCACCGAGAAAUACUCCAUCCUGGUAAAAAGACCAACUGA